This 402-nucleotide ribosomal RNA is filed under the name uncultured bacterium. RNAcentral's name for it is "bacterial SSU rRNA". It matches the Rfam family "Bacterial small subunit ribosomal RNA", at positions 355 to 774 of the family's 1533-position model. The record is from RNAcentral.
UGGGGAAUAUUGGACAAUGGGCGCAAGCCUGAUCCAGCCAUGCCGCGUGAGUGACGAAGGCCUUAGGGUUGUAAAGCUCUUUUGGCGGGGAAGAUAAUGACGGUACCCGCAGAAUAAGCUCCGGCUAACUUCGUGCCAGCAGCCGCGGUAAUACGAAGGGAGCUAGCGUUGUUCGGAAUCACUGGGCGUAAAGCGCACGUAGGCGGACUUUCAAGUCAGGGGUGAAAUCCCGGGGCUCAACCUCGGAACUGCCUUUGAUACUGUUGGUCUCGAGUCCGGAAGAGGUCAGUGGAAUUCCUAGUGUAGAGGUGAAAUUCGUAGAUAUUAGGAAGAACACCGGUGGCGAAGGCGGCUCACUGGUCCGGUACUGACGCUGAGGUGCGAAAGCGUGGGGAGCAAACA